Molecule: ribosomal RNA, 110 nt
Filed under: Enterobacter hormaechei
Lineage: Bacteria; Pseudomonadati; Pseudomonadota; Gammaproteobacteria; Enterobacterales; Enterobacteriaceae
Source: RNAcentral
UGGCGGCUGUAGCGCGGUGGUCCCACCUGACCCCAUGCCGAACUCAGAAGUGAAACGCCGUAGCGCCGAUGGUAGUGUGGGGUCUCCCCAUGUGAGAGUAGGGAACUGCC